GUUUAAUUUAAAUAUUAUUCUUUCUUUUUCCACGACGCCUUCCUUCAUUAGAAAUGAUCUCAUUUCUCUCUUUAUGCAAACAAUAAAUCUCUCAACUCCUCUUAUUAUCUCUAUAUCCAUUUCUCUUUUAAUGAGAAGUGUAGAGACCAAUUUACCCCUCCUCCUUUUUUCUAAUAUUCAUUUUAAAA
Molecule: small RNA, 188 nt
Filed under: Arabidopsis thaliana (thale cress)
Lineage: Eukaryota; Viridiplantae; Streptophyta; Magnoliopsida; Brassicales; Brassicaceae
Description: ATSL159810
Source: RNAcentral